RNAcentral lists this ribosomal RNA (253 nucleotides) under uncultured bacterium. Its description in RNAcentral is "partial 16S ribosomal RNA". It matches the Rfam family "Bacterial small subunit ribosomal RNA", at positions 524 to 776 of the family's 1533-position model. The record is from RNAcentral.
UACGUAGGGCGCAAGCGUUAUCCGGAAUUAUUGGGCGUAAAGAGCUCGUAGGCGGUUUGUCGCGUCUGCUGUGAAAUUUCGGGGCUCAACCCCGAACUUGCAGUGGGUACGGGCAGACUAGAGUGUGGUAGGGGAGACUGGAAUUCCUGGUGUAGCGGUGAAAUGCGCAGAUAUCAGGAGGAACACCGAUGGCGAAGGCAGGUCUCUGGGCAACAACUGACGCUGAGGAGCGAAAGCGUGGGGAGCGAACAGG